GAUGAACGCUGGCGGCGUGCUUAACACAUGCAAGUCGAACGGAGAAAGGGUAGCUUGCUAUCUUUUCUUAGUGGCGGACGGGUGAGUAACGCGUGGGUAACCUGCCCUUUGCAGGGGGAUAACAGUGAGAAAUCACUGCUAAUACCGCAUACCAACUUCUUUCGCAUGAAGGAAGUUUGAAAGAUUUAUCGGCAAAGGAUGGACCCGCGUUGGAUUAGCUAGUUGGUGAGAUAACAGCCCACCAAGGCAACGAUCCAUAGCCGGCCUGAGAGGGUGAACGGCCACACUGGGACUGAGACACGGCCCAGACUCCUGCGGGAGGCAGCAGUGGGGAAUAUUGCACAAUGGGCGAAAGCCUGAUGCAGCGACGCCGCGUGAAGGAUGAAGGUCUUCGGAUUGUAAACUUCUAUCAGCAGGGAAGAAAGGGCUUAUAGCCUAUGACGGUACCUGACUAAGAAGCCCCGGCUAACUACGUG
Molecule: ribosomal RNA, 476 nt
Filed under: uncultured bacterium
Lineage: Bacteria
Description: bacterial SSU rRNA
Rfam family: Bacterial small subunit ribosomal RNA
Source: RNAcentral